Molecule: transfer RNA, 84 nt
Rfam family: tRNA
About the family: Transfer RNA (tRNA) molecules are approximately 80 nucleotides in length. Their secondary structure includes four short double-helical elements and three loops (D, anti-codon, and T loops). Further hydrogen bonds mediate the characteristic L-shaped molecular structure. tRNAs have two regions of fundamental functional importance: the anti-codon, which is responsible for specific mRNA codon recognition, and the 3' end, to which the tRNAs corresponding amino acid is attached (by aminoacyl-tRNA synthetases). tRNAs cope with the degeneracy of the genetic code in two manners: having more than one tRNA (with a specific anti-codon) for a particular amino acid; and 'wobble' base-pairing, i.e. permitting non-standard base-pairing at the 3rd anti-codon position.
UGCCCCAUGGCUGAGUUGGUUACAGCGUCCGACUGUUAUCUCGUAGCAAUCGGAAGGUCGUGAGUUCGAGCCUCACUGGGGCAG